CAUUGAGCUUCAAAAGCUCUUCAGAAACCAACAGAUGACGUCCAGCAGAAGCCACGACUCACUGAAUCGUCUGCCCGACAUUUUCAACGAAAGAACCUGUCCCGCUCUUCUUCCAACCAGCAGCUCGACAGCCAGUGUGCACUAAACUUGACAUAUUGUCAUGUAACACUGCCAGGCACCAUUACACUUCCUGCUAUCGCCUCGGAUCGAGCAAAAACACACCGAACGCCUGCUGCCUAACAGCAUGCGAGGCGGCAGCCGUAAACGAGGGCGUCUAUAAAUCCUGCGCUAAGGAUGAAAGACUGCCACAAAGGAGAUUAGUGUCCACAGCAGCUAAUGAGAAAUGUAACUGAGAGAGUGUCAAAUCCCUCUCCGGUCCCCACUGGAGCAGAGACUCAUGGGAAGACCAGGAUAACAGCCAAUCCCUGAAGGAAGUGAGGAAAUGACUCCUCGCCAAUCCCAGGGCUCACCGAGGUUACUACGGGGCUGCUGGGCCAUCGCCAUGGUACCCUGCUAUCAGGGGACACCUGGCCAAUCACAUUUAGUGAUGUUAAGUGUAAACAUCCUUACACUAUAGUCACUACAGUGUGAGGAUGCACUAUAGUAUAGUGCAUCCAUGGCACCUUUACAGAAGCAUGGGGUUGACUGUGCAGACAUGGGUGGUUGGGGGAAGAUGCAGGACUGGAGAGAGGCUUAAAUAUUCUAUGUAUGUGAAAGUAACGGCACUUUGCAUAAAUUUGACCAGACUGGACCAGUCUGUUGUUUUGGAUUAAAUUAGUUCACACCAAUUUCAUCGACACCAUACAACACUAUUUUGCAAAAAAUUAACACAAGAACUUUUAGUGGCACAUCUUCAAGAGAACAUACCAAAUGCUGAAUGACUAAUAACCAUUUGAUACUGCAUGGACUUUACUCAAAUUAAAGAAUAAAAUGCUGAUUCAGUAACACAAGGUCAUUAAUACGACACACUGUGACAUACUGUGGUGAUAUUAUCAUGUGAAAGCCUUAAAUCUUCAGUUAUGGUGAUUACAGUGGAAGGAUUAUACGUUCCUCUGCGGACUAAGAAACUUCUGCAACUCUUGGCUUAUUAAAAGUUUAAAAACCCCUUGAGAUGAAACUCAAAAGUACAUAGUGGUCAGGUUUAAAACAAGGCAUUUUCUCUUGCAGUGCUUUCAGAUUGCCAGCAGCUCACCAGAAAUUCCUUCUAUCCCUACUGAGCCGAUCAACCUGACAAAUGUUUGGCAGUAGAUAACCAUCAGCCAGGUUUCCCUGCCCACUUUAUUUCCUACAGACGUUAUAAUAAUUCUGUGAAUAAAUAUUAUACCACGAGAAAUACACAAUGAGCAGUCUGCCAUGCAGGGAUUCCCCAAGCUAUGUUUAAUGAAAUAAGUACAGGAAUGACCAAUAUUCUCCUUGAUGAGAUGCUCUAUAAACAGUACUGCUAUUAAGAAAUGUUGAUUGGGUUUAUCAGGUUGCACCAGCUAGUCCGGCUAACAAAUGCUAACCCUACCUGGUGAGUAGAUGAUUUUUCACCAAAUAAAGUUAAAACAACUUCCCAAACACCACGUUUUCUUUGUUCUUUACUUUAAAAGUGCUGAAAUCCAAGCUUUAAACACAACUUCAUUGAAUUUCUUUUGCUGUUAGCUAUACCACUAGUUUCAGCAUUGAGGACAAAUGAUCAAGAUAAAAAAAAGCUAACACAGAAACUUUGUUGCUAGAGGAGUAUUUUUUUUAGGUUAUGCUAAGUAGCUAAGCUACCACCAUGGAUUUAAAACUGUAUGUGAAUUUUGUAUUAUACAUUAGACUUCGUCAUAGUGGUAAAUUUGACGAAGAUGUACUGUAAGUUGUUUCUGUUGCAAUGCUAACAAAAGGCUGUACAGAUUAGACAACCAAUAGCUAAAAUAAGUGACAACGGUAAAAUAAGAAGCCCAUUAAUUAUACUCUGUGUAUGUUUAUGUGUCACAGACAGAGAGAGAUCAAGCAUAAUGUAACAUACAUAACCACUGUGCUAACGUUCAUUCAUUUCAAAGAGGUCACUGCAUUAGCAAAGCAGGGGUACAGACACAGACAUAGCAAAAAUUUAAAAAAAAACUAAGGUCAUUUGGCAAUGAAGUUAAAGCUGGCUAACGGUUGGACAUGCCCAUACCAACAAAGUAUCUUGCAUUUUUUAACACAGUACUGUUUUUGGUCUAAACACCUGCUUACGGAGCUCAACAUCCUGCUGGGUUGGUGUGGUUUGCCUUAGAAUUACUUUAUGAAUAUGGUAUUAUCUCUGUCCCAGUUCAGUGGUCUUUACAGAAGGAAUACUGUCCUCAAUACCAACUGUAAUGUCUGGUGUUUAGAGGAAUAAUGUGGGGAAUACUGACCGGAUAGGCACAGAUUGUAUAAUGUUAUAAAUAGGGGCCAUAUUGUGGGAUUCCUCAGAGAAGCAGAUGUGCUCCAGCUGACUUACUCUGUAAUCCCACCUCACUCUCUGAUCCAACAACACACACACUCCAACACACACAUACAUGUGCACGCAGAUAGAACAUAAACAAGCUUUAUCCUUUGAUCAUUGUGUGGCAGAAAAAAGACAUUACUGGCUGUAGAAGUCACUGUGAACAGAAAUGCGUGGAAACUCGCAUUUCAACGUGCAAAUAAGCCAGCGGGGACGGAGAUGCUCAUAUAACAUCAAAGAGCGAAAACGACAGAGUCUGUUUCAAGUAGAGUUGGCAAUUCAAGUCUGUAUUAACAACCAAUGAUCAAAUAACCAGACUUUACACACAUACCCACACACACAGACAUAGCAGUGAUGGAAACAUGAUCACUGAGUUGAACCAUUAUAAAGAACCGCUCCUGACCAACCCAUCAAACAUACAAUCCCCACUAAUUGGAGACGAGAUGGGAGGCGUUAUUUCAGCAGAAGUCAACCGCUAACCACCGGCAGCCUCAGUAUGAUGGCAGUUGGCAAGUUAGCAUCACGAUUGAAAUGCUUCAUGAUUCAUGAUUUACAGGUUUAGAGAAAUACAGAAGUAGAGACAUCACCACUGCUGAAGCUGGAUGUAUUUUACCAACUGUAAAUUUCCAAGUGAAAGUUGACUUCUAAUGAUAAUCAUAAUAUCAUUCAACACUGAAACAUGUAAAUCACCUGGAUAAUUUAAUGUUCACUGGCCACCAGUGGUCAUUGUGUAAUCAAUAUUUCAACUUCAUUUCUGAGAAAUCACACAGAUCCUUAGCAGUUAUUGCUAUUAAGAAGAUAUCAGUGAGACAAGAUUUGGAGUUAUAGUAUAUUUAGAACACUUCAUCGUCACAAUCAGUAACCACUACACCACAGCUGCUGAAUUGGUUAAAACUGAUCCACAAUUCAAACUGAUUCAAACAACUGUGCUUGAACGCACAACCUCUAACUUUAGCCAGCCAGUAAUGGCGCAACAUAAUGUUAACCUCUGUAAUGCAAUGCUGCUUGGGAUUCAUAGUUGACUUCGAUAUUAAAG
Thunnus maccoyii (southern bluefin tuna) is the source of this 3473-nucleotide RNA transcript. It is a transcript of the gene named asparaginase and isoaspartyl peptidase 1, with no coding region annotated. Lineage: Eukaryota; Metazoa; Chordata; Actinopteri; Scombriformes; Scombridae. The transcript has 5 exons. The record is from RefSeq and is a predicted model, not a curated record.